This 510-nucleotide ribosomal RNA is filed under the name uncultured bacterium. Its description in RNAcentral is "partial 16S ribosomal RNA". It matches the Rfam family "Bacterial small subunit ribosomal RNA", at positions 28 to 507 of the family's 1533-position model. The record is from RNAcentral.
GACGAACGCUGGCGGCGUGCUUAACACAUGCAAGUCGAACGAAGAGCGAUGGAAGCUUGCUUCUAUCAAUCUUAGUGGCGAACGGGUGAGUAACGCGUAAUCAACCUGCCCUUCAGAGGGGGGCAACAGUUGGAAACGACUGCUAAUACCGCAUACGAUCUGACCUCGGCAUCGAGGAUAGAUGAAAGGUGGCCUCUAUUUAUAAGCUAUCACUGAAGGAGGGGAUUGCGUCUGAUUAGCUAGUUGGAGGGGUAACGGCCCACCAAGGCGAUGAUCAGUAGCCGGUCUGAGAGGAUGAACGGCCACAUUGGGACUGAGACACGGCCCAGACUCCUACGGGAGGCAGCAGUGGGGAAUCUUCCGCAAUGGACGAAAGUCUGACGGAGCAACGCCGCGUGAGUGAUGACGGCCUUCGGGUUGUAAAGCUCUGUUAAUCGGGACGAAAGGCCUUCUUGCGAAUAGUUAGAAGGAUUGACGGUACCGGAAUAGAAAGCCACGGCUAACUACGUG